GACGAACGCUGGCGGCAUGCCUAACACAUGCAAGUCGAGCGAGCAGAUCCCUUCGGGGUGAAGCUAGCGGCGGACGGGUGAGUAACACGUGGGCAACCUGCCUCAUAGAGGGGAAUAGCCUUCCGAGAGGAAGAUUAAUACCGCAUAAGAUUGUAGCUUCGCAUGAAGCAGCAAUUAAAGGAGCAAUCCGCUAUGAGAUGGGCCCGCGGCGCAUUAGCUAGUUGGUGAGGUAACGGCGCACCAAGGCGACGAUGCGUAGCCGACCUGAGAGGGUGAGCGGACACAUUGGGACUGAGACACGGCCAAGACUCCUACGGGAGGCAGCAGUGGGGAAUAUUGCAAGAUGGGGGAAACCCUGAUGCAGCAAUGCCGCGUGGGUGAUGACGGCCUUCGGGUUGUAAAGCUCUGUCUUCGGGGACGAUAAUGACGGUACCCGAGGAGGAAGCCACGGCUAACUACGUGCCAGCAGCCGCCGUAA
This 478-nucleotide ribosomal RNA is filed under the name uncultured bacterium. Its description in RNAcentral is "partial 16S ribosomal RNA". It matches the Rfam family "Bacterial small subunit ribosomal RNA", at positions 28 to 523 of the family's 1533-position model. The record is from RNAcentral.